This 690-nucleotide ribosomal RNA is filed under the name uncultured bacterium. RNAcentral describes it as "bacterial SSU rRNA". It matches the Rfam family "Bacterial small subunit ribosomal RNA", at positions 153 to 845 of the family's 1533-position model. The record is from RNAcentral.
GAAAGAAAGAUUAAUACCGGAUGGCAUACGAAUAUCGCAUGAUAUUUUUAUUAAAGAAUUUCGGUUAUCGAUGGGGAUGCGUUCCAUUAGUUUGUUGGCGGGGUAACGGCCCACCAAGACAACGAUGGAUAGGGGUUCUGAGAGGAAGGUCCCCCACAUUGGAACUGAGACACGGUCCAAACUCCUACGGGAGGCAGCAGUGAGGAAUAUUGGUCAAUGGGCGAGAGCCUGAACCAGCCAAGUAGCGUGAAGGAUGAAGGCUCUAUGGGUCGUAAACUUCUUUUAUAUGGGAAUAAAGUUUUCCACGUGUGGAAUUUUGUAUGUACCAUAUGAAUAAGGAUCGGCUAACUCCGUGCCAGCAGCCGCGGUAAUACGGAGGAUCCGAGCGUUAUCCGGAUUUAUUGGGUUUAAAGGGAGCGUAGGUGGAUUGUUAAGUCAGUUGUGAAAGUUUGCGGCUCAACCGUAAAAUUGCAGUUGAAACUGGCAGUCUUGAGUACAGUAGAGGUGGGCGGAAUUCGUGGUGUAGCGGUGAAAUGCUUAGAUAUCACGAAGAACUCCGAUUGCGAAGGCAGCUCACUAGACUGUUACUGACACUGAUGCUCGAAAGUGUGGGUAUCAAACAGGAUUAGAUACCCUGGUAGUCCACACAGUAAACGAUGAAUACUCGCUGUUUGCGAUAUACAGUAAGCG